AAUAUUGGACAAUGGGGGCAACCCUGAUCCAGCCAUGCCGCGUGUGUGAAGAAGGUCUUCGGAUUGUAAAGCACUUUCAGUUGGGAGGAAGGGCUUUAGGUUAAUACCCUGAAGUUUUGACGUUACCAACAGAAUCAGCACCGGCUCACUCUGUGCCAUAAGCCGCAGUAAUAACGAGGGUGCAAGCGUUAAUCUGAAUGACUGGGCGUAAAGCACGCGUAGGUGGUUCAGUAAGAUGGGUGUGAAAUCCCCGGGCUUAACCUGGGAACUGCUUUCAUAACUGCUGAGCUAGAGUACGGUAGAGGGUAGUGGAAUUUCCUGUGUAGCGGUGAAAUGCGUAGAUAUAGGAAGGAACACCAGUGGCGAAGGCGACUACCUGGACUGAUACUGACACUGAGGUGCGAAAGCGUGGGGAGCAAAC
RNAcentral lists this ribosomal RNA (421 nucleotides) under uncultured bacterium. RNAcentral describes it as "partial 16S ribosomal RNA". It matches the Rfam family "Bacterial small subunit ribosomal RNA", at positions 360 to 773 of the family's 1533-position model. The record is from RNAcentral.